ACCCGCCUCCGAUUCCCCACGCGCCGACUUCCGGUCUUUUUCUAAGUCUAUUGGCCAGCCUCUCUGACUAUCGCGUCACGACCUUAAAGUGGAUUAGUGGGCCUUGUGGUCAGGCACAGUGACCCCUGACAAUGGGAAACUUCAUUCGUGCCACAAAGUGUCGAUCACUUUGUCACAGGACGUCGCGUGGAACAAUUGGCCGGUAAGGGUACCAUUCAUCCCGCCCCCAUCCGAGGUGACGGGAAAGGGUUGGGGAAUUUCCACUCUUGAUUAAAUUGACGGCUGAAGUGACGACCUGCAAGCACUGGUGCUUUCUGGAGUAAAUUCACCCAGCACUUGGGGAGGCUUGUACGUCAAGGGUGCCAGAGGCGCGGAGGCAACGCAGCCCCCACCUGUCGCUCCCCGCCAGGCGCGGAGAGUUGCUGCACGGGGAUUGGAGGGAAGAAGCUAUCAGUCUCCGCUAGGGUCCGCCUCCCCGCCAGUCCCUGGUUGGAGGAGGGGCGCGUCAGUCACUAGAGAGGUCGCCGCCUCUGGGACAGACUGUCCAUGUGGGCCAGGGAGAUGACAGUGGCUGAGACGUACCAGGGCAGCCCAAGCGCUGACGUGAGCAGCAUGAGCGCAGCCACACAGAAGAGGUCCAGGUGGAAGCCAGCUCCCUUCUGCAGACAGGGCCCGAGGCCGAGAGCCCGUUCUCUCCCCCAGAAAGAGGUGACACUCACCACGGAGGGGAAGAAGCGGCUGGUCUUGAGGUGCUUGAGAGCCAUGGCAAAGAAGAAGGAGGUUAGGAAGAGGAGGACGGAGAAGACGGCGACGUCCGGGACCGUGUGACAGCCAGGGCCACGAGGGUGGCCUCCCCGCCGGGCACACUCAGGUGGGGGCAGCAAGGAUGCGUUGACCAGGCCUAGGUCCUGUGCGGAGAGGUGGUGAGACACGGCGGUAGGAGCGGACCACUGAGGCCCCGAGGACGCGAGGCAGAGCUCCAGCCACCGCCAAUGGCUGGGCCUCAGUGGCCUGUGGGGGGUGGGAAGAGCCAGGAACCACUGGCUUCUUUGGCCUGCACCCGCUCUUCUCCACGCCCUCCGGGGAACAGGCCCUCACCAAGCUUAAGAUGUCAUCUUCGACUUUUGGCUUCGUGCUUGUCCACUGAGACUCGUUUCCUGGGAAGCAGAGAAGAAUUCAGGCGUAUCUUCCCCUAAUCAGGAGCCUGAUCUCACAGGCCCAGAGGGUUCUUGGUUCUGAUUCACCUGUCUGCUGCCUCCAAUCACUACAAGUCCGUCCUCAGGACAUUGCCUCGCGCCCUGGUCCCUUCAGAUUCCCUGCCUAACAGACUCCCUGCUCCUCAGCACAGGCCUGGCGAAAGCAGAUCCCCAGCAAAUGGAUGAGCACACCAAUCUGUGUUUCCAUCCGGGCCAGAAUGGGUCCCGUCCAUGUCUAGUACGGGGCGGCACCCUCGAGCGGACACCUCUUCCCUGGUCUGCUGUUUCUGACCUUGUGGAGGGAUCUGGGCGAGUGUAACACUCCAAGCUUCUUGCCACCCAGUCACUCGGCCAAGGGCAAGCGUGGCAAUUUAUUUGAUUGGUGAAUUGGGGAGAAGACACUGGGCUUGCCUGGCCACGCCCCUCCGCGGAGUAGGCUGCAGGCACCGUGUGUGCAUUUAGCUCAGCUCCUCUGGGGCGAGACAGUCCCUGUCUUUGCAGCCAUGACCGCCUGGGUGAGUCCGUCCAUCUAAGUCUGGUUUCCUCAUUCGGAAGCCCGCUCGCUCAUAGCUGUAACGGUGUUCUUCUCUCAGCCUUGUCAGAAGUAAAGAUGAUAUUGGGCCUGCUCUGUAGACUUAUUUUCACCUGACUCAGAACUAGAGCACUGCUGGUUACUAGCGCCUGGGGCCAGCCCAGCAGCUCGUUGAGCUGAAUGAAGAGCAGGAGGUCCUUGGGAUCCCCCAGUUUCCCGCUGGCCGCGUCUAAGGGAUCAUCAGGUCUGGGCCCAGAGCCAGAGUCAUUGUCCAGCUCUCCUGUGGGCACAUUUUCACAAGCUCUGGAGACUUCAAACUCUUCCUGGCCUGACAGCUUCAUCUCGAUGGAAGUUCCUGGGCCAGGAAUUGAACCCAUGCCACAACAGUGACCCAAGCCGCUGCAGUGACAAUGCUGGAUCCUUAACUGGCUGCACCUCAAGAGAAUGCCAAAAUAAACAUUUUUAGAAGAUAAUCAAGCGAUAUUACUCUUCUGCUCAAAACCCACCCUGUGCAUCCUCAUUACUCCUGGAAGAAUAUCCGACCUCUGUCAUGGCCUCUAAGAUCUGACGUAUAGCCUGGUCCCAGCCCGCCUCCCUGAUAGACUCUCAUACUAUUCUGUGCUUCCUCGAUCCUUUCCAGCAACUCUGAGCUCCCUCUGUUCCCCAAAGCCCCCCUCUGUUCCUGCAGUAACCCUUCUCUCAACAAGGAAAGCUUCCCCCCCAGAUCUUCACCUAGGUCUCAUCGCAGACAUUCCCUACUCAGGAACAUCUCCUUUUUUCAUCCUGUCCUAAGUUUCUCCAUCUUAUUUUUGUUUUAUUUUCUUCCUAGCAAUUAUCACUGGUAGUAACUGCCUUGUUUAUUAUUUAUCAUUUAUUGCUUGCUCCUCCACACGUGCGUGCAUGCACGUACGCGCGCGCGCACACACACACACCCAGAAGAAUGCGCUGUCCACGGAGCAGGUAUGUUAUCUAUCUUCUUCACCGUUGCCCCUAGAGCACCUAGUCACACUCAAUAAAUACUACUUCAAUGAGCUCACAGAAGGGGAGGGGUUGAGAAAUGAGCGGCGCUGCUCCCAGAGGCCACACGAGGGCGCUGCUCCCCGCGGACCGGAUCGCUAGGGCCUCUCCCUUGGUCCAAGGGUCGGUCGGGUUUCCUUUCCCGGCGGACCCACCACGCGCAGAGGUGGCCUGGAGGGUUCCAGGAACUUCUGCCUUGCCCUCCCCCACGGCAGAUUGGCUUGGUGCGAUGAGCUAUGGCGAGGAGCGCAACAGGGGUGGGGAGAGAAACCCAUCAGGCUCAUCUGAAUGUGUGUCAAACCCCCCAUGGGACACCUGUUACCCGUUCCUCCCCUCCCCACCAACCCUAGGUCUGGAUUUAGGGCUAACCGCUCCAAGUCCAAGGAGGUCCCAGGACAGCAAUUAGGGGAGCGAGUCACCGUAUUACCAGUGGGGGACUGAGGGCUGAGUCUGAGUGGAGGGAGUUGGUUUCGUUCCCAGGAUGAACAGAAACUGGCCUAGGGCUUGAGAGGGCGGGGAAUCCCCUAGCCACCCCCUCCAAGAAUGUGUCCCAACCUCAGGGGCAAGUGACUCAAGGGAGUCUGGAGGGGACAGGAGCUGGAUUUAGCAUGAAUACCCCCUCACAAGCACGCCCUCCCUUUCCACCCCCGCCAAGUUCAGAGGGUCUGCCCUUGCCCUCUCUAUGGCCCAGCUUCCCUGGCUCCCGAUGCUGCCUGUGUUAGAGGGCCGCCAUGCCUCUGCUCUCCCCCGGCCCCUCUUUCUGCUGGGUCUCAAGGGCCCUGAGCUGUACAGGUUGGUGGAUGAGAGCCAGGGUCCGCCUGUGGGCACGAGCAGUCUCCCAGUGAGGGUGUGCGGGGUGGGCCGGCAGCCCUGGGAGACACCCAGGCUCAGGCGUUCAAAGACCUGGUACUCAUCCUGGCUCAGUCACAGACGUAUUGGGAGUCUUUGGGCCAAACCCUUCCCCCCUCUGAGCCUGUUUGUUUCCACCGAAACUGAGAUGGUUGGAGUAGAUGAUUUCCAAGAUUCAAAGCAGACCUGUAGCAGUCCACUGAGCCGGCCCUGAGGGGGAGGGAGUGGUGUCACCAAGAGGCUGCCUGGUUGCAAAUCCUGGCUGGGUCCCUUUCUAGCAAGUGGAGAAGAGAUUUAUCUUUGUAGAACCUGAGUUUUCUUAUCAGCAAAUGGAGGAAAAUACAAGUGCCUACAUCAUAGGUUUUAUUAGAUGGAACAGGGCAUUAAAAGAGGGCUGGUACAUAGUAUACACAAUGAAGGGAGCCUGUCAUAUAACUAUGAAGAAAGAAUGUAUCAUACACCGAACCGUCAGUUGUCUCCAACCACUGUACAAGGCGUAUUAUCUCAUGUCAUCCUUACGACAAGCUUUUUAAAAAACUUUUAAUAAAAAAAAAAACUAUUUGAGUCUAAUUAUAGAAGACCUGUAGAAAAAGUCGCCCAAAAACUAGGUCUCUGGCUGGUACUGUUCAUCCAGCUUCCCCCCAGGGUAACAUCUUACUCAGCAAUAAUACAAUAUCAAAACAAGGAUGAAGGAGUUCCCAUUGUGGCUCAGUGGUAACAAACCCAGCUAGUAGCCAUGAGGAUGU
Molecule: non-coding RNA, 4340 nt
Organism: Sus scrofa (pig)
Lineage: Eukaryota; Metazoa; Chordata; Mammalia; Artiodactyla; Suidae
Source: RefSeq, a predicted model, not a curated record